This 794-nucleotide long non-coding RNA is filed under the name Heterocephalus glaber (naked mole-rat). RNAcentral's name for it is "lncRNA (ENSHGLG00100038612.1)". The record is from RNAcentral. Lineage: Eukaryota; Metazoa; Chordata; Mammalia; Rodentia; Bathyergidae.
GCCAACCCUGUCUGGUGCCACCCGGCAGUUUUUUCUGCCUUCUCUCUCGCUAACACAACUUGGGUUUUGUUCAAGGGCAACAGCCCAGUCCUGCCCCAGGCCUGGGGGGCAGUCUGGGUCUGUCUGAACCAACCAUGGCGUUACAGGACUUUGGGAGCGACCUGUCCUGUGGUCUUGGCCUUCUGGCCUAAGACUCCAGCUGAGGACCAUGGCUGACGGGGGCCGCCCACAUUCUGACAGGGCCCUGUGGAGCUCUGGGCGUCUGUGUGGGCUGAGCAAAGGGGCAGAAAGUCUCCCCUGCGCCACCAGUUCACACAAGCGAACAGGAAAUGUGGACUCUCUCUGGGAAGGGGGAGCCAAGUGGCCGGCAUUGGCCGGCGCAGGAGUCUGUGGAGAGGAUGGGUGGCCUAUGUCGGUCAGAGAGCCCGGAGCCCCAGCCCGGCGACGGUGACUGCCGCCAGAAGCAAGCGGCAUCACCGAGCAGCAGAGCCUGCCAGCCACCCUAGCCUUCCUCCACGGAGCCCGCUUCUCCUCAGGCGGGGAGGGCUUGGCAGGCGAGGACUAUGCCUUUCCUCUGGGACAAGUGGGCACUUGGGAAGGCAUCGGGCCCGGGGCCGCCUCCGUGCCAGGCAGCCUGCCAGGGAGGGGCCCAGAGGCAGAGGGCGAGGGUGCACAGGAGCGAGGGCCCAUCGGCGCCUACGGGAAACCAGUCAACUCCAAGAACCAGAGCUUGCUGACCGUGUCAUGCUGUGACCUCAAGCAGCCGGUGAGGAAGGGCUGAAUGAAUGGAUGGA